Molecule: ribosomal RNA, 492 nt
Filed under: uncultured bacterium
Lineage: Bacteria
Description: partial 16S ribosomal RNA
Rfam family: Bacterial small subunit ribosomal RNA
Source: RNAcentral
GGGGGGGGGGGGGGGGGGGGCGGGCGGGGGCAGGGCGGGCGGCGGCGCGGUAGGGGCUUGCUCUUACGGGUGGCGAGUGGCGGACGGGUGAGGAAUACAUCGGAAUCUACUUUUUCGUGGGGGAUAACGUAGGGAAACUUACGCUAAUACCGCAUACGACCUACGGGUGAAAGCAGGGGAUCUUCGGACCUUGCGCGAUUGAAUGAGCCGAUGUCGGAUUAGCUAGUUGGCGGGGUAAAGGCCCACCAAGGCGACGAUCCGUAGCUGGUCUGAGAGGAUGAUCAGCCACACUGGAACUGAGACACGGUCCAGACUCCUACGGGAGGCAGCAGUGGGGAAUAUUGGACAAUGGGCGCAAGCCUGAUCCAGCCAUACCGCGUGGGUGAAGAAGGCCUUCGGGUUGUAAAGCCCUUUUGUUGGGAAAGAAAAGCAGCAGGUUAAUACCCCGCUGUUCUGACGGUACCCAAAGAAUAAGCACCGGCUAACUUCGUG